Molecule: long non-coding RNA, 1096 nt
Filed under: Equus caballus (horse)
Lineage: Eukaryota; Metazoa; Chordata; Mammalia; Perissodactyla; Equidae
Description: lncRNA (ENSECAG00000051682.1)
Source: RNAcentral
CUAUACAAAGCAUUUAACUUAGUUUUGAUAGAAAUAAGAGCUGUAUUUUUUAUACUUACAUUUUGUCUGUUUAUAUUGAAUUAAGUUACAUAGUUACAGUAGAAGCACAACUGGCACAAACAAGAUUGGGGCUAACAGUGCUUGAGCAUCAGUUUUGAGAUGUACAGAGGUCCUGGGAAGCUUGGAUCUGUCCAGUGGGCAUUGAGGUAGAGGUCAUUUAAGGGGCUUCUAAUGUAGCUCCCUGGAGGCUGUGUGCUGUCUUUUCUCUGGACUCUUCAAUAAAAUCCUCAUUGUUCACUGCUAGCUCCCUGUGACUGGAUUCUUUGGGGGAUCACCCAAGGAAGGGUUGGACUUCACAUCUGAGUCCCUUCAGUGGAAAGCAGAGAUGGUCCCCUGGACUUGGGAGUCAGGAAGAAAACAGCGGUCUCUGAGUAAAUUUGAGGAAAUUAUGGGAAUCUUGGUGAGAUGUCGGGCUUCCCGCACACUACAGAAGAAGGAUUUUGAGUUUUGUCUGAUGGCUCUGGCCCCGAACAUUUGGCUCCACUGGCUGACCUUGACGCCUUCCCAUUCUCUGGAGCAGCUGACAACUGGCCUCAUGAAGUUGCUUGCUUAUACUCCUUAUAUGUAUUGGCUUCCAUUUCCCCUGAGCACAGGGAUGCUUUGCUUCUCCCCUGUGGACUGUGAGGGGCAAAUGAGUAUUUAUAUGGAUUUAUCAGAGACUGGAACAGCCUCUGAUACUGUGUCUUAUGCUUUCUUUAAUGUAUGUUCCAUGGAGGAAAUCACUGAGCAGAUGUUGGUUUAGCUGGUUUCAUUAUCCAUGCUCUGAAUUCCCAGGAAAGCUGGACAGUUUCCCAUUGAUAACAAUAAUUAUUAUUAUAAUAGCUAACCCUUAGUUGAGUUCUUACUAUGAACAGGUGUUGAACUAGACAGUUUCUAUGCAUCAUCUCAUUGAAUCUUCCCAACAAAAUUGUGAGAUGGGUACUAUUAUUUUACGGAAACUGAAGCUGCCUAAGGUAAAACAAAACAAAACAAAACACAAAGCUGCUAAGUGGCAGAACCAGGAUUUGAACCUGGUUUGUCUGACUUUGAAGCUGGU